UGGGGAAUAUUGCACAAUGGGCGCAAGCCUGAUGCAGCCAUGCCGCGUGUGUGAAGAAGGCCUUCGGGUUGUAAAGCACUUUCAGCGGGGAGGAAGGCGAUAAGGUUAAUAACCUUGUCGAUUGACGUUACCCGCAGAAGAAGCACCGGCUAACUCCGUGCCAGCAGCCGCGGUAAUACGGAGGGUGCAAGCGUUAAUCGGAAUUACUGGGCGUAAAGCGCACGCAGGCGGUCUGUCAAGUCGGAUGUGAAAUCCCCGGGCUUAACCUGGGAACUGCAUUCGAAACUUGCAGGCUAGAGUCUUGUAGAGGGGGGUAGAAUUCCAGGUGUAGCGGUGAAAUGCGUAGAGAUCUGGAGGAAUACCGGUGGCGAAGGCGGCCCCCUGGACAAAGACUGACGCUCAGGUGCGAAAGCGUGGGGAGCAAACAGG
This 429-nucleotide ribosomal RNA is filed under the name Chloroflexota bacterium. Its description in RNAcentral is "Chloroflexi bacterium partial 16S ribosomal RNA". It matches the Rfam family "Bacterial small subunit ribosomal RNA", at positions 355 to 776 of the family's 1533-position model. The record is from RNAcentral. Lineage: Bacteria; Bacillati; Chloroflexota.